AUACGUAGGGUGCGAGCGUUGUCCGGAAUUACUGGGCGUAAAGAGCUCGUAGGUGGUUUGUCGCGUCGUCUGUGAAAUUCCGGGGCUUAACUCCGGGCGUGCAGGCGAUACGGGCAUAACUUGAGUACUGUAGGGGAGACUGGAAUUCCUGGUGUAGCGGUGAAGUGCGCAGAUAUCAGGAGGAACACCGGUGGCGAAGGCGGGUCUCUGGGCAGUAACUGACGCUGAGGAGCGAAAGCAUGGGUAGCGAACAGGAUUAGAUACCCUGUUAGUCCAUGCCGUAAACGGUGGGCGCUAGGUGUAGUGGUCGUCCACGACUUCUGUGCCGUAGCUAACGCAUUAAGCGCCCCGCCUGGGGAGUACGGCCGCAAGGCUAAAACUCAAAUGAAUUGACGGGG
This 398-nucleotide ribosomal RNA is filed under the name uncultured bacterium. RNAcentral describes it as "partial 16S ribosomal RNA". It matches the Rfam family "Bacterial small subunit ribosomal RNA", at positions 523 to 918 of the family's 1533-position model. The record is from RNAcentral.